UACGUAGGGUGCGAGCGUUAAUCGGAAUUACUGGGCGUAAAGCGUGCGCAGGCGGUUUUGUAAGUCAGAUGUGAAAUCCCCGGGCUUAACCUGGGAACUGCGUUUGAAACUACAAGGCUAGAGUGUGGCAGAGGGGGGUGGAAUUCCACGUGUAGCAGUGAAAUGCGUAGAGAUGUGGAGGAAUACCGAUGGCGAAGGCAGCCCCCUGGGAUAACACUGACGCUCAUGCACGAAAGCGUGGGGAGCAAACAGG
This 253-nucleotide ribosomal RNA is filed under the name uncultured bacterium. Its description in RNAcentral is "partial 16S ribosomal RNA". It matches the Rfam family "Bacterial small subunit ribosomal RNA", at positions 524 to 776 of the family's 1533-position model. The record is from RNAcentral.